CGCGUAGGCGGUGCCACAAGUCACCUGUGAAAUCUCCGGGCUUAACUCGGAGCCUGCAGGCGAAACUGUGGUGCUGGAGUGUGGGAGAGGUGCGUGGAAUUCCCGGUGUAGCGGUGAAAUGCGUAGAUAUCGGGAAGAACACCUGUGGCGAAAGCGGCGCACUGGACCACAACUGACGCUGAGGCGCGAAAGCUAGGGGAGCAAACAGGAUUAGAUACCCUGGUAGUCCUAGCCCUAAACGAUGAUUGCUUGGUGUAGCCGGUACCCAAUCCGGCUGUGCCGCAGCUAACGCGAUAAGCAAUCCGCCUGGGGAGUACGGUCGCAAGGCUGAA
This 332-nucleotide ribosomal RNA is filed under the name uncultured bacterium. RNAcentral's name for it is "bacterial SSU rRNA". It matches the Rfam family "Bacterial small subunit ribosomal RNA", at positions 568 to 898 of the family's 1533-position model. The record is from RNAcentral.